RNAcentral lists this microRNA precursor (112 nucleotides) under Human alphaherpesvirus 2. RNAcentral's name for it is "microRNA hsv2-mir-H6 precursor". Its record names the gene hsv2-mir-H6. Lineage: Duplodnaviria; Heunggongvirae; Peploviricota; Herviviricetes; Herpesvirales; Orthoherpesviridae. The record is from miRBase by way of RNAcentral.
GGCGUCGGGACUCGCGGAGGGCCGGAGAAUGGAAGGCGAGGGGAUGCAGGAGGAGGAUCGGGACUCCCCAUCUUCUGCCCUUCCAUCCUCCGUUUUUCCGCUUUCCACCGCC